GGUGGGGUGGCGGAGAAGUGAAAGAUCCGAAACGGCUACGCGUACGCCUGCAGAGCGUAUCUAUGUGGGUUCGAAUCCCACCCCCACCA
This 89-nucleotide transfer RNA is filed under the name Nitrososphaerota archaeon. RNAcentral describes it as "Thaumarchaeota archaeon tRNA-Cys". It matches the Rfam family "tRNA". From Rfam's summary of the family: Transfer RNA (tRNA) molecules are approximately 80 nucleotides in length. Their secondary structure includes four short double-helical elements and three loops (D, anti-codon, and T loops). RNAcentral also lists the same sequence under 1 other name. The record is from RNAcentral. Lineage: Archaea; Thermoproteati; Nitrososphaerota.